UGAGUAACCUGCCCUUAACUCUGGGAUAAGCCUGGGAAACUGGGUCUAAUACCGGAUAUGACUCCUCAUCGCAUGGUGGGGGGUGGAAAGCUUUUUGUGGUUUUGGAUGGACUCGCGGCCUAUCAGCUUGUUGGUGAGGUAAUGGCUCACCAAGGCGACGACGGGUAGCCGGCCUGAGAGGGUGACCGGCGACACUGGGACUGAGACACGGCCCAGACUCCUACGGGAGGCAG
Molecule: ribosomal RNA, 233 nt
Filed under: uncultured bacterium
Lineage: Bacteria
Description: partial 16S ribosomal RNA
Rfam family: Bacterial small subunit ribosomal RNA
Source: RNAcentral